CCUAGGGGCGGCUGCAGUGGGGAAUAUUGGACAAUGGGGGGAACCCUGAUCCAGCCAUGCCGCGUGUGUGAAGAAGGCCCUCGGGUUGUAAAGCACUUUCAGUGAGGAAGAACGCCUGGUGGUUAAUACCCAUCAGGAAAGACAUCACUCACAGAAGAAGCACCGGCUAACUCCGUGCCAGCAGCCGCGGUAAUACGGAGGGUGCGAGCGUUAAUCGGAAUUACUGGGCGUAAAGCGCGCGUAGGUGGCUUGAUAAGCCGGUUGUGAAAGCCCCGGGCUCAACCUGGGAACGGCAUCCGGAACUGUCAAGCUAGAGUGCAGGAGAGGAAGGUAGAAUUCCCGGUGUAGCGGUGAAAUGCGUAGAGAUCGGGAGGAAUACCAGUGGCGAAGGCGGCCUUCUGGACUGACACUGACACUGAGGUGCGAAAGCGUGGGUAGCAAACAGGAUUAGAUACCCCUGUAGUC
Molecule: ribosomal RNA, 465 nt
Filed under: Vreelandella stevensii
Lineage: Bacteria; Pseudomonadati; Pseudomonadota; Gammaproteobacteria; Oceanospirillales; Halomonadaceae
Description: partial 16S ribosomal RNA
Rfam family: Bacterial small subunit ribosomal RNA
Source: RNAcentral